This 190-nucleotide small nuclear RNA is filed under the name Xenopus laevis (African clawed frog). RNAcentral's name for it is "U2 spliceosomal RNA". It matches the Rfam family "U2 spliceosomal RNA". Rfam says of the family: U2 is a small nuclear RNA (snRNA) component of the spliceosome (involved in pre-mRNA splicing). The record is from Rfam by way of RNAcentral. Lineage: Eukaryota; Metazoa; Chordata; Amphibia; Anura; Pipidae.
AUACUUUGUUAUUUUCAAUAAAUUAAAAAAAAAAAAAUCUGUUCUUAUCAGUUUAAUAUCUGAUACGUCCCCUAUCUGGGGACCAUAUAUUAAAUUGAUUUUUGGAACAGGGAGAUGGAAGAAGAGCUUGCUCUGUCCACUCCACGGAUCGACCUGGUAUUGCAGUACCUCCAGGACCGGUGCACUUCUC